RNAcentral lists this transfer RNA (69 nucleotides) under Pterobdella arugamensis. RNAcentral's name for it is "tRNA-Cys". It matches the Rfam family "tRNA". From Rfam's summary of the family: Transfer RNA (tRNA) molecules are approximately 80 nucleotides in length. Their secondary structure includes four short double-helical elements and three loops (D, anti-codon, and T loops). Further hydrogen bonds mediate the characteristic L-shaped molecular structure. tRNAs have two regions of fundamental functional importance: the anti-codon, which is responsible for specific mRNA codon recognition, and the 3' end, to which the tRNAs corresponding amino acid is attached (by aminoacyl-tRNA synthetases). tRNAs cope with the degeneracy of the genetic code in two manners: having more than one tRNA (with a specific anti-codon) for a particular amino acid; and 'wobble' base-pairing, i.e. permitting non-standard base-pairing at the 3rd anti-codon position. Lineage: Eukaryota; Metazoa; Annelida; Clitellata; Hirudinida; Piscicolidae. The record is from RNAcentral.
GGAGAUAUAGUUGAAUUAUACAACAUUAAAUUGCAAAUUUAAAAGUAUAUUAUAAUAAUAUUAUUUCUU